RNAcentral lists this long non-coding RNA (792 nucleotides) under Brassica napus (rape). RNAcentral's name for it is "long non-coding RNA (BNAP_LNC014044)". The record is from RNAcentral. Lineage: Eukaryota; Viridiplantae; Streptophyta; Magnoliopsida; Brassicales; Brassicaceae.
UUAACGAGGCUGGAGAAUCCCACAUGUCCCCAACCGUAUCUGUCAAUGCUUCUGCAUCUAGGACUCUCUUUUCUUCUUCCAAAGGAAUUCUGCUACCUGGAGAGAUACCUAAUACGCCAAUCGAUAAGACACAAAGCAAGCCAAUCAUUCUUCUCUUCUCAAAUGACGGGAACAAUUGGCGCAACUCAGAUAGCAUUGGACCAUAUGAAGGGGACACGCUAAUCUAUUCCCAAAACGCCUUAUGAUCAACCUCCACCUUAUCAUUGAUGUCAAAAGUCUCACAAUUUAAACAUGUUAUUUCACCAAACUCAUAUAGUUAAAACCUAAUAGGCUGACCUUCUAGUAGAGACCAUAACUCCUGAAUAUUAUCCACAACCAGUUGGUUUGUCAGCAAAUGGUUAAAAACUUGGGCUGACCAUGUAUAAUCCAUCUCUUACAACCUUACAAUAACUCCAACAGAAGAUGUCUUAAUGGAUUCUCACGCAUCUAAGCCAAGUGACAGUUAUGAUUCAUUGAACAAUGUAAAUAAUGUACAAUGAAGUAAGGUACACAUGAAAAUUAUAUUUCCAGAAACUUAUCUACAGUGGAGUCGAUAGUUGCAAACACAUAAUUACCAAAAUAAGAAACCCAAAAUCAAAUAACAUAUGUUGUUCGCACGGGUUCUAAAUGGCACAAAAAACUGAGAAAAAGUGAAUAAAGCAACGACCUUCAACGGAACUGAGAAUUUGAAAAAGGGGAUUUAAGGUGUGAAUCGAAGGCUUUAGUGGUAGAGUAGAGUGCGGACAUGACCGA